This 509-nucleotide ribosomal RNA is filed under the name uncultured bacterium. RNAcentral's name for it is "bacterial SSU rRNA". It matches the Rfam family "Bacterial small subunit ribosomal RNA", at positions 38 to 507 of the family's 1533-position model. The record is from RNAcentral.
GGCGGCGUGCCUAAUACAUGCAAGUCGAACGCACUCUCGUUUAGAUUGAAGGAGCUUGCUCCUGAUUGAUAAACAUUUGAGUGAGUGGCGGACGGGUGAGUAACACGUGGGUAACCUGCCCUAAAGUGGGGGAUAACAUUUGGAAACAGAUGCUAAUACCGCAUAAAACCUAACACCGCAUGGUGUAGGGUUGAAAGAUGGUUUCGGCUAUCACUUUAGGAUGGACCCGCGGUGCAUUAGUUAGUUGGUGAGGUAAAGGCUCACCAAGACCGUGAUGCAUAGCCGACCUGAGAGGUAAUCGGCCACACUGGGACUGAGACACGGCCCAGACUCCUACGGGAGGCAGCAAUAGGGAAUCUUCCACAAUGGACGAAAGUCUGAUGGAGCAACGCCGCGUGAGUGAAGAAGGUUUUCGGAUCGUAAAACUCUGUUGUUGGAGAAGAAUGUAUCUGAUAGUAACUGAUCAGGUAGUGACGGUAUCCAACCAGAAAGCCACGGCUAACUACGUG